UACGAAGGGGGCUAGCGUUGUCCGGAAUUAUUGGGCGUAAAGGGCUCGUAGGCGGUUUGUCGCGUCGGGAGUGAAAACCUUGGGCUUAACUCAGGGCUUGCUUUCGAUACGGGCAGACUAGAGGUAUGCAGGGGAGAGCGGAAUUCCUGGUGUAGCGGUGAAAUGCGCAGAUAUCAGGAGGAACACCGGUGGCGAAGGCGGUAUCCUGGACCAUUACUGACACUGAAAAGCGAAAGCCAGGGGAGCAAACGGG
This 253-nucleotide ribosomal RNA is filed under the name uncultured bacterium. RNAcentral describes it as "partial 16S ribosomal RNA". It matches the Rfam family "Bacterial small subunit ribosomal RNA", at positions 524 to 776 of the family's 1533-position model. The record is from RNAcentral.